AACCUUUUUCCUAGAUAGAAUCGGACGUCGUCCGUUGCUUCUCAGUAGCGUAGGAGGCAUGGUCGCAUCAUUAGCUACACUCGGGCUUUCACUAACGAUCAUCGAUCAUUCAGACGAGAAACUAAUGUGGGCCAUCGCAUUGUGCAUCACGAUGGUUUUGGCUUACGUGGCAUUCUUCUCUAUAGGGAUGGGCCCCAUCACGUGGGUGUACAGCUCGGAGAUCUUCCCAUUGAGGCUACGCGCCCAGGGAGCGAGUAUGGCAGUGGCGGCUAACAGGGUGACCAGUGGGGUAAUUUCGAUGUCCUUUAUUUCGUUGUAUAAGGCUAUAUCCAUUGGCGGGGCGUUUUUCUUGUUCGCCGGGGUGGCGACGGUGGCAUGGUUCUUUUUCUACACGUGCUUGCCGGAAACCCAAGGGAAAACGCUGGAGGAAAUGGAAGGGCUUUUUGGCAAAUUGAUGGGUUGGAGGAAGGAGGCUAAGAAGCUGAAGAUGAGGAUGAAGGAAGUUAACGGUGAUGGAACAAGUAACGGUCAGAUUCAGCUAGGAAAUACAACUACUAACGGUCGCUAAGGUAGAUGAAGAAGGGCAAUAUGGUAAAUAUAUGUGUUUGGUAUGGUUUAGAUCUGAAACGAAGGAGAAGAGUAGGUUUGUUUUUCCUUUUUUCCUGGUUCUUUUUGUUUCCAAGGAAAAUGAAGUUCAAGGUGUGACCCUUGCGGGUAAAAAAAGGAAGAAAAUGUAAAUGCUUUUAUGCAAUGGAAACCGGAAAGGAAAAUUAUUAUGAAUUCCAAAAGAAACACUUUACAAUCUCCUUAGUGUUCUUUUCCCUUUAAAAUUAAUUAAGAUAUGUUUUCUUUUCUUUUUUUUUUGACAAAAAUGUUGAUCAAAGGAAGUCUCAAUAUGUUAAGAAAUUAACAUUAAUAUAAAGACAAGAAAAAAUUAAAUGAUUGCACUAUAUAUUAUGAGACACACCCUACUUGGAGGGAGCUCCAAUAAUUGGGGAAGCAAAGGCAGAGGUGACAAAUGGGUUGAUGGAUGGUCGGUUAGCGUGCGAGUUAGAGGGAGGUCAUUCUCUGUUGGAAACAUAACUUUUUUCUACUUUCACAAGAAACUGGGUUAUGUUUCUGCUUAGAUAAGAACUCAUGACUGGAAUGGUUGAGCGGAAUAAACCUUAAUUUCACUUCUCUUCAUUCUUUUAAUAUAAUUUUUUUUUUUUACUUUACCAUUAGUAAUAGUAUUUUAUUUGGUAUUCAUUUUUAGAAAGAAUUAAGGCGGUCCCAUCAACCAUCACAAUGGGCAAUCACACUACCAUACUCUCUCAACCGAUCCACCCCUAUUUGAAACAACUGGAAACAAGUAUAACCUACAGCAACCUAUAACUUAAUUAGAGAAAGCAAUUUAUGAAUACAAACGGAGAAGAAAGAAAAACUCUCAUUCUGCUCUGAGUUUUGUUUGGUAAGUGCUGUAUCUUAAUCAAAUGACUAAAAGCAAGCCAAUCAUUUUAAAAAAGUUCCAAAAAAUAUAUAUGGAUCAUACUAAUUGAUCAGACCGCAAUAAAACCGAAUCAAGCAAGAUAUUCCACGAGACAUGCGAGAGAUGUGAUGGACAAUAAACCAGUGAGCAAGCCUGUGGUAUAUGUCCUAUAGAAAGAGGACUAACAAAGCACGAUUGUGGGGUCUAAAUUUAUGUCCUGGUGAAGGAUAGUAUGACACUUGACUACUCGAGGGGAUUUGACUCUGAUUAAAAUGUCUCUCCUAGUGAUGUAAAUGGCUAUGGUUUUAGUUAGUUGGGUAUUGGUUUGAUAUCUUUAAGAUUUUCUUUCGCCUAAACCAAUGGUAUUUGUUGUAGGCAUUUGUACACACAUUUUCUCGUGACAUUGGCAACCUCAGGGCUCAGGCUCAGUACUCAUCUCUUGCGAAGAUUGCUAGUGGGAUCAACCCUGACAUAAACUACCGUGUUGAUGGUUUCCCUUCCACAUAAUUUUGGGCGGCUAGCAAGUUCUGCAUGCCAACUUGAUAAUCUAAAUCGACUUUGAUUAUGAAUGCAAAGAUACAUAUAUAGAAGGAUGAAAUCAAGCAAAGAAUAGUUGUUACUGUACAAAGUGGUCUCAAGUUUCAUUUUCCAUAACCCCUGAUGCGUAUAAUAAUUGAGUUAUCUCAUGGCUCAACUUGAAUAUAUGCUCACUCUCGAACCCCAUAUCUCCACCAGGGGAUAACUUUUCCAAGAUGAAACAACAUCAUUAAGAGCAAGCCUCCCACAACUGCAACGGCAUGCAUGUCCCGGUGAACGAAUUUUCUUGCCCUGUCCUUUUUAAUUAGGGGUGAAUGUGAUAUGGUUUAAUUGGGUGCAGGACCUGUAACUUGUUUUGGGUACCUUUGACUGAUGGAUCUGCGUAUAUGUAAGCUUUUGUUAUUAUAAAUUAGGCGCAGUCCCCUCUAACAUCUGAAAAUCCUAGUAUAAAUAAAGGGUUGUAGUUUGCCCACAUUGAGGACAAGUGAAAAGCUUCAUAGAAUGAAAGACAGGCCCGUACGUUCACCAAUCUUAAUGCUUUCUUCUUGGUGUCCAGGAUUUACAUAUUUCAGGUUUUCUGAUAGCAAAUCAAUUUUGACAACAACAAGUUCGAUUCAUAUAAUAUUUUGCUCAUAAUUCACUCAUAUAAUGUUGUUGGUCUUCAACUAUCCGAUUAUAUACAAAUUAGUAUGAAAUAGUAAAUAAUUAUUUAAUUAAUAUGUAUUUUAAAUGAGUAGUCAAAUUGAAUUUUUCGUGUGAUUGUUUGCUAGGGUGUGUCUCAUACGGACCCCAUAAUAACGAUAGCUCACACAUGUUGAUUGUACUAUGUGGAUGGUAAAGUAAAGGGGAAGGUAUUGGCCCACCUUGAUGUAACCUUAUUUUGUACUAUGCUAUAAUUUGGUCUUUUUUAAGCAACUGAAGCGUCUGAGUCUCAACAAACCCUCUACCCCCACAUACCAAACUCGGAAGAGACUCAUGGCUACUUGAAUCUCUAAAACUACCAGACUACACUUCCAUAUAUACAACAAAUCUCGCUCUCUUUCUCAUCCUUUUGUACCUAGAAAACAUGGCUGGGUUGGGAGUAGAGAACACUGUCGUUUCAGCUCAACUUAUAGACAACAAAACUCUAGCAGAUUUUGAGCCUGCAAACAAACCUAAAAGAAAUAUGUUUGCUUUUGCUUGUGCUGUACUUGCUUCCUUAACUACCAUCUUACUUGGUUAUGGUAAGUCUCUUUUCUUAGGCGUUUCCAUUCUUUGUUUUACAAACAGAAAACAAUAAAAAAUAAAAAAAAAAGGUUUUCUUAAGAACCCUAAACUAAGUACUUGCAGUAGUAUCUUUCCCAGGAAAUAAAAGGGUUUAUGGAUAACAUAUUGGCGGUCAUUUUGCAUUAAAACUUAAAUGCAUGUUAGUACUAUUACCUUUUCUUUAAUUAUGACGUAAAUGUUUUUUUCUGCAUGAAAUAGAUAUUGGAGUGAUGAGUGGAGCUAUAAUCUUUAUAAAAAAGGACCUCAAAAUCAACGAUGUUCAAGUUGAAAUCCUUGUCGGUAUCCUCAACUUGUGCUGUCUGGUUGGUUCAUUCGCAGCCGGUAGAACCUCCGACUGGAUAGGCCGCCGUUACACCAUCGUGUUGGCCAAUGCCAUUUUCUUCGUGGGAGCUCUCCUCAUGGCCUUCGCAACCAACUACGCUCUCCUCAUGUUCGGUCGUUUCAUCGGUGGUAUAGGCGCCGGCUUUGCCAUCAUGAUUGCUCUUGUUUAUACUGCUGAACUCUCCCCUGCUUCAUCCCGUGGUUUCCUCACCUCAUUCACGGAGGUAAUUUUAAAGAACUUUGAAAAUUACUACUUUCUUUUUUGAGUUUUGAUGGACAUAAAACAAAGUUAGAAAGUAAGGUUUUUUUGGGUGUGUAGGUUUCUAUUAAUGGUGGUAUAUUAUUAGGGUACGUUUCGAACUAUGCAUUUUCGAAGCUACCAAUGAACUUAGGCUGGCGAUUCAUGCUCGGCGUUGGGGCAAUUCCAUCUGUUUUCUUGGGUGUUGGGGUUCUGGCGAUGCCAGAGUCGCCGCGUUGGCUGGUCAUGCAAGGUCGACUCGGUGAAGCCAAGAGAGUGCUUGAUAAAAGCUUGGACAGCAAAGAGGAAGCUCAGCUUAGACUCAAUGAUAUCAAAGAAGCAGUUGGGAUCCCUGCCAGUUCAACAGACGAUGUUGUUCAAGUCCAAAAGCAAAGCCAUGGAGAAGGCGUGUGGAGAGAGUUGCUUGUAUACCCCACACCAGCUAUCAGGCAUGUGUUGAUUUGCAUCAUCGGGAUUCAAUUCUUCCAGCAAUCGUCCGGCAUAGAAGCUGUCGUUUUAUACAGUCCAAGGAUUUUUGAAAAAGCCGGGAUCACAUCAUCAAAUGAUAAGCUACUCGCCACCGUAGCUGUCGGUUUCGUCAAGACAAUCUUUAUCUUGGUGGCCACGUUUUUACUCGACAGAAUCGGACGGCGUCCGUUGCUCUUAAGCAGUGUGGGGGGCAUGGUCGCGUCAUUGGCUGCAAUCGCAUUUUCCCUAACUAUCAUCGAUCAUUCGGAGGAGAAACUAGUGUGGGCCAUUGGACUGUGCAUCACAAUGGUUUUGGCGUUCGUGGCAUUUUUCUCGAUUGGGAUGGGACCCAUAGCUGGUGUCUACACCUCGGAGAUCUUCCCG
Molecule: long non-coding RNA, 4682 nt
Filed under: Theobroma cacao (cacao)
Lineage: Eukaryota; Viridiplantae; Streptophyta; Magnoliopsida; Malvales; Malvaceae
Description: long non-coding RNA (TCAC_LNC000767)
Source: RNAcentral